AACGCAUAUUGCGCCCACUAGUAUUCUAGUGAGCAUGCCUGUUCGAGCGUCAUUUCAACCCUUAAGCCCUGUUGCUUAGUGUUGGGGGCCUACAGAAGCUCUCUGUAGCCUCCUAAAGUUAGUGGCAGAGUUGGCUCACACUCUAGACGUAGUAAUUUAUUUGUUUAUCUCGCCUAUGGAUGAGUCGACUUCUUGCCGUAAAACCCCCUAAUUUUUCAAGGUUGACCUCGGAUCAGGUAGGAAUACCCGCUGAACUUAA
This 259-nucleotide unclassified non-coding RNA is filed under the name uncultured fungus. RNAcentral's name for it is "sequence contains ITS2". Lineage: Eukaryota; Fungi. The record is from RNAcentral.